CCAGUUAUGACAUGAACUGGGUAAACUGGGAAUGUGUUUGUUGAAUGUGUUUGUGUCAAAGUCAGAGAGCCGUGUCUCUCUACAGUCAGAGGUUUUUGUACGGCGGCUCAAUCAGUUUGUAUCACUGUGGUUGACUUUUGGUGGAGGAACCAGACUGGAUGUUGGAGCGGGUCGAGUCGUCCCCACCCUGACGGUGCUGCCCCCCUCCAGUGAGGAGCUGCAGCAGGGGAAGGCCACGCUCAUGUGUCUGGCCAACAAGGGCUUCCCCUCAGACUGGAGUCUGUCCUGGAAGGUGGACGGCAGCAGCAGCGGCAGCAGCAGCUGGGAGGAGAGCAGGAGCCCCGGGGUGCUGGAGAAGGACGGCCGCUACAGCUGGAGCAGCACCCUGAGGCUCCCUGCAGACCAGUGGGGGAAGGUGGGCUCUGUGACCUGUGAGGCCACCCAGGGCUCCCAGACUCCACUCUCAGAGACACUGAGGAGAGACCAGUGUUCCCAGUCCUGAGCUGACUCACUGGGACUCUGCUACUGGUUUUACUCUCAUUCUGCUCUCAGUCUGUUCUCUCUUUCUUCUUCUCUCUUUGUCUUGACGUGUUUCAACAUUAAAGUGUUCUUGCCUUUCUUCAUGUUGUCAGCAUUUUCAAACAAUAAAGAGUUUCUCAUGUGUAUUAUAA
Non-coding RNA from Scatophagus argus, 671 nucleotides. NCBI's taxonomy places the organism in Eukaryota, Metazoa, Chordata, Actinopteri, Scatophagidae. The record is from the annotation of a RefSeq genome assembly.